CUGGAAUCACAUCCAAGUGGGUGUAACCAUGAGGCCAGGCCACCCCUCUCAUCAGCUGUGCCCUGCUUCCUUCAGAUGAGUGAUUAACUGUAUUUAAAGCUUUGGCCUUGAACUUGCAGCGGGAGAUGGUGUCUCUCAGGUUUUUACCCUUCUUUUUAAUUAAGGAGCUGUAUUAAAUAUUCAGAAAUUCUACUCUGUGACUUUCCUGGGCAGCACAAGGGCAUCCUGGAGAGGCAGAUCUCUUUCUCGUUAACACCUCUCCAGGCCACCAUUCUCCUUCCCUGCUUCUCAGUUCUGCUCCUCCAGGAGCGUGCAGUGUUUCCUGAGAGGAGCUGGGAGUCAUCCCUGAGCUGCUGGAAAUGCAGCAUCGACUCUUAAUGGUGCCACAGGGAGAGGCUGGGCUGCACCAGAUGCUCUGCAGGAUGGGAUCCUUUGGGUCUGCCAUCACCUCCAGGCCAACCCCCAGCCAUGCUGAGCGUGUGAUGACACCGCUGUGUCUUUAAUUUGGCAGCUUUAAGCCUAAUGCUUUCACUCCACUUGGAAUAAUUUCCCACCUGCAAGUACCAGGGGCACGGCAGGGCAAGAGGACAAUUAAAAGGCAAUUUCUGCCAAGAGUCCCCUCUCCUUCACUGGGUGAUGUGCCUCAGCAGCAGCAGACCCCACAUUCCUCCACAGCAGCUGACAAAGGGCUGAGCAAGUUGGACCCAGGAUGCAAAGCAUUGGGCUGCUGGUGCCAUAGGUGAGGAAGAGGAGGAGCUCUCCAGCUUUGGG
RNAcentral lists this long non-coding RNA (771 nucleotides) under Phasianus colchicus (ring-necked pheasant). Its description in RNAcentral is "lncRNA (ENSPCLG00000006033.1)". Lineage: Eukaryota; Metazoa; Chordata; Aves; Galliformes; Phasianidae. The record is from RNAcentral.